This 268-nucleotide unclassified non-coding RNA is filed under the name Saccharomyces cerevisiae (brewer's yeast). The record is from RNAcentral. Lineage: Eukaryota; Fungi; Ascomycota; Saccharomycetes; Saccharomycetales; Saccharomycetaceae.
UAGGAAAGUCAUAAAUAUAUAAAUUAUAUUAUAUAAUUAAUAUAAUAAUAAAAUAAAUUAUAUAUUUUAUUUAUAAUAUUAUUUCUUUAUAAGAUAAAUAUUAUCUAAUAAUAUUUAUAAAGAAAUAUAUAUAUAUAUAAAAAGUCAUUAUAUAAAUUUAAUUAUAAUUUAAAUAAAUUUUAUAUAAAUUAAUAUAAUAUUAAUAAAGUAAUUAGUAUAAAUAAAUAAUAUGAAAAUAAAACUUAAUAAAUAUAUAAAUAUAGUCCGG